GAUGCUAAUACCGGAUAACAACAGAUGAUGCCUAUCAACUGUUUAAAAGAUGGUUCUGCUAUCACUCUUGGAUGGACCUGCGGUGCAUUAGCUAGUUGGUAGGGUAACGGCCUACCAAGGCGAUGAUGCGUAGCCGAGUUGAGAGACUGAUCGGCCACAUUGGGACUGAGACACGGCCCAAACUCCUACGGGAGGCAGCAGGG
Molecule: ribosomal RNA, 203 nt
Filed under: uncultured Lactobacillus sp.
Lineage: Bacteria; Bacillati; Bacillota; Bacilli; Lactobacillales; Lactobacillaceae
Description: partial 16S ribosomal RNA
Rfam family: Bacterial small subunit ribosomal RNA
Source: RNAcentral